GAUGAACGCUGGCGGCGUGCCUAAUACAUGCAAGUCGAGCGAACAGACGAGGAGCUUGCUCCUCUGACGUUAGCGGCGGACGGGUGAGUAACACGUGGAUAACCUACCUAUAAGACUGGGAUAACUUCGGGAAACCGGAGCUAAUACCGGAUAAUAUAUUGAACCGCAUGGUUCAAUAGUGAAAGACGGUUUUGCUGUCACUUAUAGAUGGAUCCGCGCCGCAUUAGCUAGUUGGUAAGGUAACGGCUUACCAAGGCAACGAUGCGUAGCCGACCUGAGAGGGGGAUAGGCCACACUGGAAGUGAGACACGGUCCAGACUCCUACGGGAGGCAGCAGUAGGGAAUCUUCCGCAAUGGGCGAAAGCCUGACGGAGCAACGCCGCGUGAGUGAUGAAGGUCUUCGGAUCGUAAAACUCUGUUAUUAGGGAAGAACAAAUGUGUAAGUAACUAUGCACGUCUUGACGGUACCUAAUCAGAAAGCCACGGCUAACUACGUG
This 497-nucleotide ribosomal RNA is filed under the name uncultured bacterium. RNAcentral's name for it is "partial 16S ribosomal RNA". It matches the Rfam family "Bacterial small subunit ribosomal RNA", at positions 28 to 507 of the family's 1533-position model. The record is from RNAcentral.